Molecule: long non-coding RNA, 349 nt
Filed under: Carica papaya (papaya)
Lineage: Eukaryota; Viridiplantae; Streptophyta; Magnoliopsida; Brassicales; Caricaceae
Description: long non-coding RNA (CPAP_LNC003550)
Source: RNAcentral
GUUUUUUGACGAUUUUGGCCGUAUUCCUGCAGAAAAAUACAUCAGGGGUCUCGAUUGGCCAGAAAAUUGUAAAAAACCAAACUCAUCGGCGGGGAGCCUUCCGGGUAUGCCAGCUCUGCCGAUUCUCCUUCACGGCUGAUAUUCUUUCUUCAGUCAACCUGCAGAAAAAAUGACGAUGAACACAAUGAUCGAAAAAUAAUGUGAAAUGGGAAUUGAAAAUGGGCUCAUCGGAGGGACUUUGCGACUUUGACCACAGCGGCUCUGUUGAGCUUCGCCAAUAAUUUUCGUCUCACCCACCAUUUUUUUUACUCCGAUUUGGUCAUGGGGUUGCUCGGAAUCAAAUUCCAAG